GCCAACAGUUGCCAGCAUGGUCCUCCGGGGAUGAUGGGGACACUGUUGGGACCGCCUCUGCUAAAGAGGAGGAAGGGAAUGGGCAACGGUAGGUCAGCAUGCCCCGAAUUAUCCGGGCUACACGCGGGCUACAAUGGUCAGGACAAUGGGUAUCGACACCGAGAGGUGGAGGCAAUCUCCUAAACCUGUCCUUAGUUCGGAUUGUGGGCUGCAACUCGCCCACAUGAAGCUGGAAUCCGUAGUAAUCGCGUUUCAAAAUAGCGCGGUGAAUAUGUCCCUGCUCCUU
RNAcentral lists this ribosomal RNA (286 nucleotides) under uncultured Methanolinea sp. RNAcentral describes it as "partial 16S ribosomal RNA". It matches the Rfam family "Archaeal small subunit ribosomal RNA", at positions 1056 to 1338 of the family's 1478-position model. Lineage: Archaea; Methanobacteriati; Methanobacteriota; Methanomicrobia; Methanomicrobiales; Methanoregulaceae. The record is from RNAcentral.